GAUGAAUGCGUGUAACAGGCCUAACACAUGCAAGUGGAAUGUUUCUGCACCUGCAGAAACAUCGCGAACGGGUGAGUAAUACAUAAGAAUCUACCAUACAGACCGGAAUACUAUACGGCCGUGUUUGAUCUCUUAAAGACUUGUCUUUAAGGGGGCGCUCAUGUUCCGUUAAUACCGGAUAACUAUGCAAGGCGUGCUGCACGAUUGUUCUUUCAAUUUUAAAGCAUGUUUCGAAUGUCACUGCCUUGUUUUGGUAAAGGCAUAGACCGCUGUUUGAUGAGCUUAUGCGAGAUUAGGUAGUUGGAAGGGUAAUGGCCUACCAAGCCUUUGAUCUCUAACUGGUCUGAGAGGACGGUCAGUCACACUGGAAUUGAGAACGGUCCAGACACAUUUUAGUGGCAGCAGUGAGGGAUUUUAGACAAUGAACGCAAGUUUGAUCUAGCCUUGUUA
RNAcentral lists this ribosomal RNA (450 nucleotides) under uncultured bacterium. RNAcentral describes it as "bacterial SSU rRNA". It matches the Rfam family "Bacterial small subunit ribosomal RNA", at positions 28 to 399 of the family's 1533-position model. The record is from RNAcentral.